Molecule: ribosomal RNA, 253 nt
Filed under: uncultured bacterium
Lineage: Bacteria
Description: partial 16S ribosomal RNA
Rfam family: Bacterial small subunit ribosomal RNA
Source: RNAcentral
UACGUAGGCAGCAAGCGUUGUUCGGAGUUACUGGGCGUAAAGGGUGCGUAGGCGGUCCUAUAAGUAUGGUGUGAAAUCUCCCGGCUUAACUGGGAGGGUGCGCUAUAGACUGUGGGACUAGAGUGCGGUAGGGGAGACUGGAAUUCCUGGUGUAGCGGUGAAAUGCGCAGAUAUCAGGAGGAACACCAAUAGCGAAGGCAGCUCGCUGGGACGGUACUGACGCUGAGGCGCGAAAGCGUGGGGAGCGAACAGG